AUCACUAAUUGAAGAAAAUCCAAGCCUCUCUAUAAAGCUCGAGUCCCAAAUACUCCCCUCACAUUAAUAAGUUUUUUCUCAUACAAAAAAACGAUGUUAGAGGUACAAAAACAAACGUGUCGUGAAGUCUGGUUUUAAAAUCAAAAGGAAGAGAUUAGGUUAAUGGAAGAGUGUCUAUGAGCAACCCUCCAGGGAAGAAAUAGGCGAACGCCAAGGUCUCGAGGUUAGUCUCUGACUCAAGCACCAGCUCCUCCACUCUCUCCAUAUCAAACGAAUCGCCCUCGUGGAAGUUUUGCGAAAGAAAAGACUAUAAAUGAAGCAAAUCAUAUUUAUUCGGUUACCAAUUUUUAUAUGUAUUUGGUUACAAACUGUCCUUCGUUCCCAGCAUUAGGAUCAAUUUUAUUCUCUCUCUUUUAUGUAAUUGUAAGACAACAUUAGACAAAAGCUAUGGAAAUGUAACCAAUCAGCUGAUUUAUUAAUUUUGGCAGACGAAUUACAGAUAACAAAAGAAGAUUACAAUCAUAAUAUCACUUUGCUGACAAUAAUCAAUCAAUAAAUUCUAAAAAAAU
RNAcentral lists this small RNA (569 nucleotides) under Arabidopsis thaliana (thale cress). RNAcentral describes it as "ATSL171940". The record is from RNAcentral. Lineage: Eukaryota; Viridiplantae; Streptophyta; Magnoliopsida; Brassicales; Brassicaceae.